AGAGUUUGAUCCUGGCUCAGAUUGAACGCUGGCGGAAUGCUUUACACAUGCAAGUCGAACGGCAGCACGGACUUCGGUCUGGUGGCGAGUGGCGAACGGGUGAGUAACAUAUCGGAACGUAUCCAAUAGUGGGGGAUAACUAAUCGAAAGGUUGGCUAAUACCGCAUACGCCCUACGGGGGAAAGCUAGGGACCUUCGGGCCUGGCGUUAAUGGAGCGGCCGAUAUCUGAUUAGCUAGUUGGUGGGGUAAAGGCCCACCAAGGCGACGAUCAGUAGCUGGUCUGAGAGGACGACCAGCCACACUGGAACUGAGACACGGUCCAGACUCCUACGGGAGGCAGCAGUGGGGAAUUUUGGGCAAUGGGCGCAAGCCUGAUCCAGCCAUUCCGCGUGAGUGAAGAAGGCCUUCGGGUUGUA
RNAcentral lists this ribosomal RNA (417 nucleotides) under uncultured bacterium. Its description in RNAcentral is "bacterial SSU rRNA". It matches the Rfam family "Bacterial small subunit ribosomal RNA", at positions 8 to 427 of the family's 1533-position model. The record is from RNAcentral.